RNAcentral lists this long non-coding RNA (5135 nucleotides) under Sus scrofa (pig). Its description in RNAcentral is "lncRNA (ENSSSCG00025007857.1)". The record is from RNAcentral. Lineage: Eukaryota; Metazoa; Chordata; Mammalia; Artiodactyla; Suidae.
UUUUUUUUUUUUGCAAAUGAUUUCCUUUGGAAUGGAGAAGGAAUGAGAUCCUGCUGUACAGGACUGGGAGCUCUAUCUGGUCCCUUGAGAUGGAACAUGCUAAUCUGAGAAAAAAUAACGGGUACAUGUAUAUGUGACUGGGUCACCUUACUGUGCAGUAGAAAAUUGAUAGAACACUGUAAAUCAGCUAUAAUGGAAAAAAAUCAUUAUUAAAAUAAAUAAAAGUUAAAAAAUAAUAAGCAUUUUUGUGUACUAGUGAAUUUAAACAUUUUCCUAUGUUUAUAGGCUGUAUAAAUGCCUUUGCACAUAGCUGUUUUAACCUAAACCAUCAUUUGAUUUUUACUAAUAUUUUCCUAUCAAUUUUAAGGGCUCUUUAUAUUACAUAUAUGUUAUAUGUGUUAAAAAGCUAUUCUCUGUCCAUUUGUCAUGGAUAUUUCCUUCAUAUUGUACAGAAGCUUGCUUUUUUUUUGGGUUUUGGUUUUUUUUUUGUUUUGUUCUGUUUUUUAGGCCUGCACCUGUGGCAUAUGCAAGUUCCAAGGAUAGGGAUCGAAUCAGAGCUGUAACUGCCGGCCUAUGCCACAGCCACAGCCAUGCAGGAUCCAAGCCAUGUCUACAACCUAUACCACAGCUCAUGGCAAUGCCAAAGCCCCAACCCACUGAGUGAAGUCAGGGAACAAACCCACAUCCUCAUGGAUACUAGUCAGAUUUGUUUUCUUUGCCCCACAGCAGGAACUCUCUAGAGAAGCUUUAUAACUGGAUAGUGUAAUGUACAAUUUUUUUCCAUCAAAAAAUAUUUUUAAGCCCAAUCAAUGGGAAUUUAUCUGGACAGUGAAAUCUAUUAUCUGGAGAGUGAAAUAUAUAAUUUUUUUCCAUCAAACAAUAUUUCUGAGGCGUUCCCAUCGUGGCUUAGUGGUUAAUGAACCCAACUGGUAUUCAUGCGGCUGUGGGUUCAAUCCCUGGCCUUUCUCAGUGGGUUAAAGAUCCUGCGUUGCCAUGAGCUGUGGGGUAGGUUGCAGAUGUGGCUCGGAUCCCGCAUUGUUGUAGCUGUGGUGUGGGCUGGCAGCUGUAGCUCAGAUCCGACCCCUAGCCUGGGAACGUUCACAUGGCCGCGGGUGCAGCCCUAAAAAAAAGACAAAAGACCAAAAAAAUUUUUUGAGUCUCAUUGAUGGGAAAGAGAUGCCAGUGCUGGGGUAUCAAUGAUGAGUACAAGACAUCUUAUUUCUUCCUUCCACCAUUAAUGUACUGGAGGCGAAACAUUGUUAAGUAAACUUAAACACACACAAACAUACACAUACAGAAAUAAAUAUGUAGUUAUCCAUUUUGGUAAGUGUGUGAUGGGGUAUGAUUGGUUCAGUUGUUUCCCAAGGAGAUCUGCUGUGUUGGUGGGCAAGAAAUGUGUGAGUUAUAAUCUGAGGUUGACCUGGUGUCCCUUGGAUGUGGAGGGCGGGAGCACUGAGGCUUGGAGUUUGGGAAGAGGUUGGUGGCAGUUGUGGAUGGGGCCAGGCAGCUUCCUUUCUGUCUUUUGUAUUUAGAUUCAUGCUAACAACAUCUGCCAGCAUCCCAGUGUUCUAUCGAUACUUAAGACAAUAUACUCCAUUGAUUUCUUUUCUCUUGAAAUUACAUCUUUCACCUAAAUGCAAUUAAUUUGGUGUCGUGCGUGAGGUAGGGAUUGAGGUACCUAAUGGUUGUGUGUGCUCAUUUUGAUGUUUUCCCACCAAAUGGCUCACCUGCCCUGGGGACAUUAAAAGACAGUGCCCUCAUAUUAUUACAUUCUGAUAAAUAUUUGGGUCUCAAAUGCCUCUAAAAUGUCAGGAACAACAGAAUGGACUUACAAGUAAUUUAAUCACGAAAAAGAAGAGGUCUAUAAUACAAUAAUACCUGGGUUUUCAUAGAUGGCAUAUGGUCAUCUUGAACCUACGACUAGAAUAGACAUGAAAUAUUUGUAUGAUGACCUUCUUUUAGAAUCUCAGGGGAAAGAGUCUGCCUCCAUCAAAGUGACACAUUACUGGAGGUCCUUUUGGCUGAGCUCCAUCUGUAUGUUCCUUUUUCAAUGCAUGGAAUGGUUAAUAUUUCCCUUUUCUACAAUAUCCAUGGAUGUAUCCAUCUCAAGAAAUGAACACCUUGCAUCCUUGAGAUAGGCCAAUUUUUCACACACAGCACACAAAAAGCACAGACCUUAGAGACUGGAAAAUUUAUGGACUCAAAACAAACACUCUCUAUUCAACAGGGGUCACUCAUACGUUAGUGAAAAGGAAAGCAGUACACAGGAGUGGGUAUUUGCAACACACAGAGCUGGGAAAGAGCUCAAUAUAGCAGAAGAGACAAUCCAUCAGACUGCUUCCCAUCCAUCACAAAAAAUGUAAAAAGAUAGGUAACCAUAUAAAAAUGCAAGGAAGACACUUUAAUAGGUACUUUACAAAAGAGAAUCUCUAAAUUUUUAGGAAAUAGGAAGAGUUACCUGAACUUAUCAACCAGACAACUGCAAAUUCAAAGCACAAAGUAUAUGCCCACAUACCUUGCACAAAAAUAAGCUUAAAAUGGCUUAUAGACUUAAAUAUAAGACAUGACACCCUCAAACUCCUAGAAGAGAACACAGGGAAAACAUUCUCUGACAUAAGUUGUAUCAAUAUUUUCUUAGGUCAGUCUUCCAAGGCAACAGAAGUAAAAGCAAAAAUAAGCAAAUGGGACCUAAUUAAACCUGUAAGCUUUUGCACAGCAAAGGGAAUCAUAAAUAAAAUGAGAAAAAAACCUACGGACUGGGAGAAAAUAUUUGCAAAUGAUGUGACUGACAAGGGCUCAGUUUCUAAAAUACACAAACAUUUCAUACAACUCAUUACCAAAAACAAACAAACAAACAAAAAUCACCCAGUUUGAAAAAUAGGCUUAAGACCUAAACAGACAAUUCUCCAAAGAAAAUACUGUAUACCUGUGGUACAUGUAUACAAUGAAAUAUUACUCAGCCAUAAAAAAGAAUUAAAUAAUGUCAUUUGCAGCAAACUGGAUGAAACCAGAAACCCUCAUACUAAAUGAAGUAAGUCAGAAAGAGAAAGAAAAAUACCAUAUGAUAUCACUUAUAGGUAGGAUCUAAAAUAGGGCACAAAUGAACCUAUCUACAAAACAGAAACAGACCUCACAGACAUAGAAACAGACUUGUGGUUGCCAAAGGGGAGGAGGGGAGUGGGAUGGAUUGGGAGUUUGGGUUUAGCAGUUCCAACUAUUACAUACAGGAUUUAUAAACAACAAGGUCCUACUGCAGAGCACAGUGAACUAUAUUUAAUAUCCUGUGGUAAACCAUCAUGGAAAAAGACACAGAAAAAAAAUGUGUGUGUAUAUAACUGAGUCACUCUGCUGUACACAAGGAACAAGGACAGCACUUUAAAUCAAGUAUGCUUUAAUAAAAUAUUUUUUUUCUUUUUAGGGCUGCACCUGUGGCAUAAGCAAGUUCCCAGGCUAGGGGUCAAAUCUGAGCUUCAGGUGCCAGCUCACACCACAGCCACAGGAACACUGGAUCCUUAACCUCCUGAGUGAGGCCAGGGACAAAACCCACAUCCCCAUGGAUACUCGUCAGGUUCUUACCCCUCUUAGCCACAACAGGAACUCCCUAAAAAUAAAAUUUUUAAAAAGGCACAAAGUGAUACCAUUACAUACUUACCUGAAUUUCUAAAUUUACAGAAACUUAAAAUACUGAGCCUUGCAAGGAUAUGAAAUGGUUCUACCUAAUGGAACUUUUUCUUUUUUUUUUGUAUUUUUGCCAUUUCUUCGGCCGCUCCCACGGCAUAUGGGAGGUUCCCAGGCUAGGGGUCGAAUUGGAGCUGUAGCCACCAGCCUAUGCCAGAGCCACAGCAACGCAGGAUCCAAGCCGUGUCUGUGACCUACACCACAGUUCACGGCAAUGCCGAAUCCUUAACCCACUGAGCAAGGGCAGGGAUCAAACCCACAACCUCAUGGUUCCUAGUCGGAUUCGUUAACCACUGCGCCAUGACGGGAACUCCCACUAAUGGGAGUAAUGUUAAGUUUCUCCUCUAUGCUAUCGAGUGUGGUAGUAACAUGCUGCCAGUGUGUACUUGAAAUGUGGCUACUCAGACUGAAGAACUCAAUUUGUUUUGUCUUUUUGGGGCUGCACCCACAGCAUAUGGAAGCUCCCAGGCUAUGGGUCAAAUCGGAGCUGUAGCUGCUGGCCCACACCAGAGCCACAGCAACGUGGGAUCUGAGCCCUGUCUGUGACCUACACCACAGCUCAUGGCAAUGCCAGAUCCUUUAACCCACUGAGCAAGGUCAGGGAUAGAACCCACAUCAUCAUGGUUACUAGCCAGAUUCAUUACUGCUGAGCCACCAUGGGAACUCCAGAAGAACUCAAUUUAAAAUUUUAUCUUUAGUCAUUAAAUUGAAGUGAUGAUGUGUGACUGUGGCCACCACGUGGGAUAGCACAGAUAUAGACUAUUACGGGAAUGCUGGGGGAGAGUGUAAAUACCAGCUCUUUGAAACAUGUAUGUACAGAUGGACAUAGAUAUCCGUGAAAACUCACCCAUUUCACUUUUAGGCAUAUAUGCACAAUUGUGUUCACCAGCAUUAUUUAUAAUAGCCCCCAAUGGGAAACACAUCAAACAUCCAUCAAUGAUAGUUUCAACCAAUAAAUGACAGUAUUUGUAUAGCAUAAACCAUCACAUGGUAUUGAAAAUGAACGUACCACCACGAAGCAAACAGUACUGGAGAAUGCCACAAACGUAGCAUUAAGCAUUAGAGGCCAGAUGCAGAAAAAUAUUCUAUGAUUCUAGUUUUAUAAAUAUUACCAAAAAUAAUCUGUGUCAUGACUGGAAGAAGGUGGGGGGAGUUAGUUACAGGGAGAAUUUCUUUGCCAUGGCCAACUUUUUGACCAAGGGAAUACACACCACAGUGUAUUUUUUUGAUCACUGGACCUUUCUAUGAAUGAUGUGUGCACUUUUCAGGACCUGGUUGUAUUUUCAUAUAGGUAGUGACCGCAUAGCCCAGAAUGACACACUAACAAAUACUAGUGACAGGGAAGAUUAUACCAUGAAUGACACAUUAACAAAAUACUAAAGACAUGGGAGAUUAUAGCAUGGUGUCAAGAUGUGAACAAUCAAAAUCUAAAGUUUGCAAAAAAUUUCACGGACCCC